GCCCUGAGCUGUGAUCAGCCCGCGUGAAGACCCCAAAAGAUGGGCAGCUAUCCAGUUUCUGUGCUCUUAUGCUGUUUUUUCUUUGUACUUGUUACUGUCCGAGCACAACAAACUGGUAAUUCACUGUUUUGUUCACUAAUUCAACUGUUUUGUUAAACGAUUGUGUGAAAACUUGUGUUUGUAUAGGGAGACCAGGCCUAGUUGUCACAUGGGGAAGUUAAUUAUUUAUU
Long non-coding RNA from Sinocyclocheilus rhinocerous, 230 nucleotides. RefSeq lists it as uncharacterized. NCBI's taxonomy places the organism in Eukaryota, Metazoa, Chordata, Actinopteri, Cypriniformes, Cyprinidae. The transcript has 3 exons. The record is from RefSeq and is a predicted model, not a curated record.